Long non-coding RNA from Capra hircus (goat), 412 nucleotides. RefSeq lists it as uncharacterized. The record is from RefSeq and is a predicted model, not a curated record. Lineage: Eukaryota; Metazoa; Chordata; Mammalia; Artiodactyla; Bovidae. The transcript is spliced from 2 exons.
GCUUUGCUGGGGAAGCUGUGAAGAGUUACCCCACAUCCAAGGUUCCCUUUGGCCCACCUAUCAGAGGACAUGCGUGUGGGUCAUCGGAACAAGAAAUACCGGCUCCCAGGUUCAACACGGGCAGCCAGGAGGACGAGGGCAGUGAACUCCCAGACAGACAUCCAGGCUCAGCAGUUGCAGCCACCCCCUCUGUGUGUGUAGAUGUGACAGCCUACUGGCCCUCCCUUUGAGCCUGGGGUCAACAAGAGCAGCUCUGGAGACUUGAUCAUUCCGUCUUAGUCACAACACCUACGCUGUUGGUUGAUAAACACUGGUGCUUGAAGACUUUCUUGUAUAACAUGAACCAACCAUGUGGGCUGUUCUUGGGACUGCAGUGCUGAUCGUCAGAACAUCUAGCGCAAGGAGCCGAAAG